RNAcentral lists this long non-coding RNA (495 nucleotides) under Sparus aurata (gilthead seabream). Its description in RNAcentral is "lncRNA (ENSSAUG00010012509.1)". Lineage: Eukaryota; Metazoa; Chordata; Actinopteri; Spariformes; Sparidae. The record is from RNAcentral.
AUGAAGGCCAGUGCUCUGCUCAACACGGCAGCUUUACUGCUGCAGCUUCUGCCAGCUGCCACCUCGUCAGCCGUGGGCCAGUCAGGAUGCAAAGUCAUAUGGGUUUUUAAGUUGCCCUGCACUGAACCUGCUGGUGCUAUUGUCAAUCAGGUGAAGGCUUGGAGCCAAAAGAAGUGUUCUGACAGCCAAGAGAAGUGCAAUUAUGAGUUGAUUAAAGAGUCUCCCACAUCACUUGAAAUCAAGCACACGUCCCCCGGAACCCACAAAACUACUGACAUCACUUUUGAGAUGUACCCUCCUUCAGCACCCAGCUUCUGCAAAAUAAAGAGCUUUGCCACCUCAAAUUCGAAGAAUGCCACCGGUCCAAACGACUACUGCCUGCUCUACAAUCUGAUUGAUGGAAGCGGACUGACUGAAGUGCAAGGCGACAAGGAGAUCUGCAAUGACGCAAUGUGCCCCGCAAGGGUCAAAGCGCCAUGCAACACUGAGGGAUGA